ACUAUACUGUGUGUGUGU
RNAcentral lists this unclassified non-coding RNA (18 nucleotides) under Chlamydomonas reinhardtii. RNAcentral's name for it is "small RNA Cre_0369". Lineage: Eukaryota; Viridiplantae; Chlorophyta; Chlorophyceae; Chlamydomonadales; Chlamydomonadaceae. The record is from RNAcentral.